CCUACGGGUGGCAGCAGUAGGGAAUCUUGCACAAUGGGGGAAACCCUGAUGGAGCAACGCCGCGUGGGUGAAGAAGGUCUUCGGUACGUAAAGCCCUGUUGGUAGAGAAGAAAGUGCGUGAGCGUAACUGUUCACGUUUCGACGGUAUCUUACCAGAAAGCCACGGAUAACUACGUGCCAGCAGCCGCGGUAAUACGAAGGUGGCAAGCGUUAUCCGGAUUGACUGGGCGUAAAGGGAGCGCAGGCGGGCUUUUAAGUCUGAUGUGAAAGCCUGCGGCUUAACCGGAGUAGUGCAUUUGAAACUGGGAGACUUGAGUGCAGAAGAGGAGAGCGGAACUCCAGGUGUAGCGGUGAAAUGCUUAGAUAUCACGAAGAACUCCGAUGGCGAAGGCAGCUUACUGGACUGCAACUGACAUUGAGGCUCGAAAGUGUGGGUAUCAAACAGGAUUAGAUACCCUUGUAGUC
Molecule: ribosomal RNA, 465 nt
Filed under: uncultured bacterium
Lineage: Bacteria
Description: partial 16S ribosomal RNA
Rfam family: Bacterial small subunit ribosomal RNA
Source: RNAcentral